GGAAGAGAACAAUCGGGAUAGCCUCGCAGAAGCCUGUCAGUAGGCCGAUGCCGGGGCGAAACGCUAAUAUGCUGACUACGCUCGUAGACACUUAAAUUACGAUGCUUCUGGACGUGGGUUCGACUCCCACCGUCUCCA
This 138-nucleotide transfer RNA is filed under the name Sporolactobacillus spathodeae. Its description in RNAcentral is "tRNA-OTHER". It matches the Rfam family "transfer-messenger RNA", at positions 234 to 371 of the family's 374-position model. Rfam says of the family: Bacterial tmRNA, also known as 10Sa RNA or SsrA, is named for its dual tRNA and mRNA-like properties. Its role is to liberate the mRNA from a stalled ribosome. The record is from RNAcentral. Lineage: Bacteria; Bacillati; Bacillota; Bacilli; Caryophanales; Sporolactobacillaceae.